This 72-nucleotide transfer RNA is filed under the name Pennahia macrocephala. Its description in RNAcentral is "tRNA-Val". It matches the Rfam family "tRNA". Rfam says of the family: Transfer RNA (tRNA) molecules are approximately 80 nucleotides in length. Their secondary structure includes four short double-helical elements and three loops (D, anti-codon, and T loops). Further hydrogen bonds mediate the characteristic L-shaped molecular structure. tRNAs have two regions of fundamental functional importance: the anti-codon, which is responsible for specific mRNA codon recognition, and the 3' end, to which the tRNAs corresponding amino acid is attached (by aminoacyl-tRNA synthetases). tRNAs cope with the degeneracy of the genetic code in two manners: having more than one tRNA (with a specific anti-codon) for a particular amino acid; and 'wobble' base-pairing, i.e. permitting non-standard base-pairing at the 3rd anti-codon position. The record is from RNAcentral. Lineage: Eukaryota; Metazoa; Chordata; Actinopteri; Sciaenidae.
CAGGAUAUAGCUAAAAUAUUAAAGCAACUCCCUUACACCGAGUAGUUAUCCGUUCAAAUCGGAUUAUCCUGA